AGCGAACGCUGGCGGCAGGCUUAACACAUGCAAGUCGAGCGGGCACCUUCGGGUGUCAGCGGCAGACGGGUGAGUAACACGUGGGAACGUGCCCAUCGGUUCGGAACAACUCCGGGAAACUGGAGCUAAUACCGGAUACGACCGAGAGGUGAAAGAUUUAUCGCCGAUGGAUCGGCCCGCGUCUGAUUAGCUAGUUGGUGAGGUAACGGCUCACCAAGGCGACGAUCAGAGCUGGUCUGAGAGGAUGAUCAGCCACACUGGGACUGAGACACGGCCCAGACUCCUACGGGAGGCAGCAGUGGGGAAUAUUGGACAAUGGGCGAAAGCCUGAUCCAGCCAUGCCGCGUGAGUGAUGAAGGCCUUAGGGUUGU
Molecule: ribosomal RNA, 371 nt
Filed under: uncultured bacterium
Lineage: Bacteria
Description: bacterial SSU rRNA
Rfam family: Bacterial small subunit ribosomal RNA
Source: RNAcentral